AGAGUUUGAUCAUGGCUCAGGAUUAACGCUGGCGGUGUGCCUAAUACAUGCAAGUCGAGCGAACCUUUUAAUUUUUAAUUUCUAAAUUUUCAAUUUCCAAAGUCUGGUGCUUAUUACCAGCUUAAAAAUUGCAAAAUUGAUGGAUUAAAAAUUAGCUGGUUAGCGGCGGACGGGUGAGUAACACGUUGGUACCUGCCCUUUAGUGGGGAAUAACUGGCCGAAAGGUCGGCUAAUACCGCAUGUGAUCUACGGAUUAAAGCCUUCGGGCGCUAAAGGAGGGGCCUGCGUCUGAUUAGCUAGUUGGUAAGGUAAUGGCUUACCAAGGCGACGAUCAGUAGCUGGUUCGAGAGGAUGAACAGCCACACUGGGACUGAGAUACGGCCCAGACUCCUACGGGAGGCAGCAGUAAGGAAUCUUCCACAAUGGACGAAAGUCUGAUGGAGCAACACCGCGUGCAGGAUGAAGGCUUUCGGGUCGUAAACUGCUUUUAUAUGGGAAGAUUAUGACGGUACCAUAUGAAUAAGGACCGGCUAACUACGUGCCAGCAGCCGCGGUAAUACGUAGGGUCCAAGCGUUAUCCGGAAUCACUGGGCGUAAAGCGUGUGUAGGCGGCAUGUUAAGUGAGAUGCGAAAUCUUGUGGCUCAACCAUGAGACUGUAUCUCAUACUGGCAUGCUUGAAGACGGCAGAGGCAAGUGGAAUUAUCGGUGUAGCAGUGAAAUGCGUAGAGAUCGAUAGGAACACCAAUGGCGAAGGCAGCUUGCUGGGCCGCCCUUGACGCUGAGACACGAAAGCGUGGGGAGCGAACAGGAUUAGAUACCCUAGUAGUCC
Molecule: ribosomal RNA, 830 nt
Filed under: uncultured bacterium
Lineage: Bacteria
Description: bacterial SSU rRNA
Rfam family: Bacterial small subunit ribosomal RNA
Source: RNAcentral